RNAcentral lists this ribosomal RNA (492 nucleotides) under uncultured bacterium. RNAcentral's name for it is "partial 16S ribosomal RNA". It matches the Rfam family "Bacterial small subunit ribosomal RNA", at positions 29 to 507 of the family's 1533-position model. The record is from RNAcentral.
AGUGAACGCUGGCGGUAGGCCUAACACAUGCAAGUCGAACGGCAGCACAGUAAGAGCUUGCUCUUACGGGUGGCGAGUGGCGGACGGGUGAGGAAUACAUCGGAAUCUACUUUUUCGUGGGGGAUAACGUAGGGAAACUUACGCUAAUACCGCAUACGACCUACGGGUGAAAGCAGGGGAUCUUCGGACCUUGCGCGAUUGAAUGAGCCGAUGUCGGAUUAGAUAGUUGGCGGGGUAAAGGCCCACCAAGGCGACGAUCCGUAGCUGGUCUGAGAGGAUGAUCAGCCACACUGGAAGUGAGACACGGUCCAGACUCCUACGGGAGGCAGCAGUGGGGAAUAUUGGGCAAUGGGCGGAAGCCUGAUCCAGCCAUACCGCGUGGGUGAAGAAGGCCUUCGGGUUGUAAAGCCCUUUUGUUGGGAAAGAAAAGCAGCAGGUUAAUACCCCGCUGUUCUGACGGUACCCAAAGAAGAAGCACCGGCUAACUUCGUG